UGAGUCGGCCAGGUGGUCGCGGCACGGACGUGCAAACGGACCGUGUCGAGGAAAGUCGGGACUCCACAGGGCAGGGUGCUGGCGAGAGCCAGGUCGGGGCGACCUGACGGACAAGUGCAACAGAAAGCACACCGCCGAUGGGCCGGGAGACCGGUCACAGGUAAGGGUGAAACGGUGCGGUAAGAGCGCACCAGCACCAGGGGCGACCCUGGUGGCUCGGUAAACCCCACCCGGAGCAAGGUCGAGCAGAGGGGACGGACGGCCCGUCCAUCGCACCGGUGCAUGCCGGAGCGAACCCCUCGGGUGGACCGCACAGAUGGAUGAUCACCGGCGCCGCUCCCCCGGGAGCAGCGUCACAGAAUCCCGCUUAUCGGCCGACUCACCAU
Molecule: RNase P RNA, 386 nt
Filed under: Ilumatobacter sp.
Lineage: Bacteria; Bacillati; Actinomycetota; Acidimicrobiia; Acidimicrobiales; Ilumatobacteraceae
Description: RNase P RNA component class A
Rfam family: Bacterial RNase P class A
About the family: Ribonuclease P (RNase P) is a ubiquitous endoribonuclease, found in archaea, bacteria and eukarya as well as chloroplasts and mitochondria. Its best characterised activity is the generation of mature 5'-ends of tRNAs by cleaving the 5'-leader elements of precursor-tRNAs.
Source: RNAcentral